UGUUGUUAUUUGAGGCUUUUUCCCUGAGAACCAGAACGGCCGAAGUGUAAACAGUUUCAUAUAGAACAAAGACAAUGAACCUUGUUCAAUAAGAGGCAAUAGAUGAUCCGCAUUUGAGUUUCAGUUGCAUAGACUAUCAGUAAGGGGCAGAGCACAGGAGGCUAUUUAAGGGAUUGCAAACACAGGCAGGAGCAGGAUGGACACCAGGUUAGGACUUGGAACAUGGGUCCCCAGGGGAAGCAGAUUCGGGAACGGGAAGGUUCAGGAAGACUGGCGGUGUCUUCCCGCCCAAGCCUGCCCCCCCCAGGCUGCCUCUGUCCAUGCAGCAGGAGACACUGAGGGCAGAGAGGCUGUGGAGGCUAGAGGAUGAAGCAGACAUCGGCUACCGGCAGUAGAGACAGUGCUUACUCAGUACCUGGGGGAUGUGCUUACUUCACAAAGUACCUGGAUGAUGCUUACUCAGUACCUGGGGGCUUCAGUAACAUGGGCCCUCCUGCAGAUACAACAGGGGCAGCUGGGAAUUCACCGCCAGGGGACAGUGAGGGCCAGGGAUGGACACGUACUAAGAGGGGACAUCAAGGGUGAGGGAUUCUUGCUAGACAGGCCUAACGGGACUCUUGCCAAAGGCAAGCCGAGGACCCAAACACCUCAAGCGUUGUUGAGGGACCUGAUCAGGUAUCAACGGUGAGGGAUUCCUGCUCAACGGACUUAGUGGGAUUCUGCCUAAAAGCGGGCUGGGCAGGUCGAGGCUCGGGGACGAGGCUCCAGUGAGAAGGGGGCUCCGAGGAGCCUGUCUAGAGUUGGUUCAAGAAGGGUCUUUGUCACUAUGGUGAACAGUGGGACAGGGCGCUGGGACAGGGGCUGAGGGCGGUGCUCUGCGUCCCCCUCCCCAGCAGGCGUCUUCUCCACCUUGGCCUCUCUCCCGCUCUCUCCAUGCUCUUGGACCCCACUGAGCGAGCAGACUUCAUCCACCAGGCCACACCAUCACCGAGCUGUUCCCCUUCCUCUGAGAGAGAGGGUCCUGGGUGCCCCCACUUCUGUGCUGCACAGCAAGGUUGCAUUCACUCAUGAAGAGGGACAAGGUCCCCUGGCAGACACCUCACACCCGAACACAGUCAAGCCUGGUAAAGCGCAGGCCGUGUGGGGCAGAAGGCAGUGACUGGGAGCCCAGCUCCAGCCGGACGCCCUAGACUUGCAUCGGAGGGCUGUCAGGUGCACGAUACCUGUUGACACCAGGAUGAAAUGCAGAGAUAUCGCAACACAUCCACCCCGAGAAGUGCUUUUCUGAUGGAAGCGAUGGAUUUGUUCACAGCGGUCUGCGAAUUUUGCACCCGUCGCCUCGGGUCCUCUGUGCAGGAUGUGAAACCUUGCUAGAGCUUGGGAGAUGCGUUCUGCUGUACGGGGACCUGGAGGUGAUAGACAUAAAGCCACGUCUCCGACUUUUACCCGGAUUCCCUGAGCUGCCUGUUCAGUGAACGUUCAGCGAUUCGGUCUACCCUUCCACUGAAGGCAGGAGAAGGAAUUCAGUUAUCUGUUUGAAGUUGCCCUGCUCCUAAUGCCUUUGAGACAGAGAACUUUGCUUCUUUUUUCUUUUAAGGGUCAGAGGUCGAGAAAUCUUUGCAGCCUCGUCUGCAGUCGGGGCUCACGCCAGGGAGCCCCUCAGCGUGGUCCCGGUUUGUGAUGGUUUGUGCACAUCCUUCAGCCGCUGCUCAACGCGAUGGCUCUGAUGUGGUGUCUUCUUCCAGGCUUCCCUUUCUUGGAAGUGACAUGUGGCCGAUCCGUGUGUGGGCUUCACGAGUGGCCGCUCUGUCGCUCCUUCGCCGUCCCUCUGGGUUUCUCCCUAAUGUCUACCAGUCCCUUUUCAGAGCCGCAGGGGUGGGGGGCUCUAGCCGGCUCCUCGCUUCUCCUCUUGGGCAGAGGGAUCCCCACCCGAAGGGCCGCAAAGAAGUUGGUGCUUUUUCAGAAUUGAAGAGCCUCUACCUUUGUGACCUGCAAGCUCAGGGACCUAGGAGCCCAUGUCCCUUUCUGCCUGGUGUAAUCAGCACGUCUGGUCCGGAUGGUUGGUGCUGGGCAGACCAGGUCAGUGCUGGUGCGACUAGCCAUAUGCUAAUUAGACUCAACAGUUUCUGAUCCCAUGAUCUCAUCAUCUCUUUCCGACCAGAAGCGCAGGACUGAAAACAUGUCCUUUCAGCCACCGUGAAGGACAAGCGUCCUCAGCUCAGACUCAAAUGUGACCAAAGUUUUAUUUAUAAUGACAAAGUUCAUAAUCAGAGAAGUGGUCUCAGAGA
This is a long non-coding RNA of Felis catus (domestic cat), 2288 nucleotides long. RefSeq lists it as uncharacterized. The record is from RefSeq and is a predicted model, not a curated record. The transcript is spliced from 2 exons. Lineage: Eukaryota; Metazoa; Chordata; Mammalia; Carnivora; Felidae.